This is a non-coding RNA of Gasterosteus aculeatus aculeatus (three-spined stickleback), 322 nucleotides long. NCBI's taxonomy places the organism in Eukaryota, Metazoa, Chordata, Actinopteri, Perciformes, Gasterosteidae. The record is from RefSeq and is a predicted model, not a curated record.
CUCCAAAAUCUCAGCCAGGCUUUCUUCGGUCAAGCAGGCGUGUUUCUUCAAAAUCUCUCCUUUCUUCAGGUUGAAUUCUUCUCUGGCUGAUUUCCAGUUUGGCUCUUCGAGGAUCUGGAAUAUCGCGGCCCCGAUCGAUAGAGCGUCGGAGUAACUCGUAUGAAGUCAAGCAAACUGGGUGGAUCCUGGCUGCUCAGCACGAUAAUGGAUGAGAUGUGUCCUCGGAGUGAGGAUGAUAGAGCAUGUGAAAGUGGGAUGGAAGUAUAUUGAUACUGCUAUUUGUCCAUCUACCUAUUGAAUAAAGAACAAACAAGGAAAUACA